GAGUUUGAUCGUGGCUCAGGACGAACGCUGGCGGCGUGCCUAACACAUGCAAGUCGAACGGAGAAUUUUAUUUCGGUAGAAUUCUUAGUGGCGAACGGGUGAGUAACGCGUAGGCAACCUGCCCUUUAGACGGGGACAACAUUCCGAAAGGAGUGCUAAUACCGGAUGUGAUCAUCUUGCCGCAUGGCAGGAUGAAGAAAGAUGGCCUCUACAAGUAAGCUAUCGCUAAAGGAUGGGCCUGCGUCUGAUUAGCUAGUUGGUAGUGUAACGGACUACCAAGGCGAUGAUCAGUAGCCGGUCUGAGAGGAUGAACGGCCACAUUGGGACUGAGACACGGCCCAAACUCCUACGGGAGGCAGCAGUGGGGAAUCUUCCGCAAUGGACGAAAGUCUGACGGAGCAACGCCGCGUGAGUGAUGAAGG
RNAcentral lists this ribosomal RNA (422 nucleotides) under uncultured bacterium. RNAcentral describes it as "bacterial SSU rRNA". It matches the Rfam family "Bacterial small subunit ribosomal RNA", at positions 9 to 414 of the family's 1533-position model. The record is from RNAcentral.